GGGGGGACCAUCCUCCAAGGCUAAAUACUCGUGAUCGACCGAUAGUGAACCAGUACUGUGAAGGAAAGGCGAAAAGAACCCCGGGAGGGGAGUGAAAUAGAACCUGAAACCGCAUACAUACAAACAGUAGGAGCCCCUGCAGUGGGGUGACUGCGUACCUUUUGCAUAAUGGGUCAGCGACUUACGUUUUGUGGCGAGCUUAACCGAGUAGGGGAGGCGUAGCGAAAGCGAGUUCGAAUAGAGCGACAAGUCUCAAGGCGUAGACCCGAAACCAGAUGAGCUAUCCAUGGCCAGGUUGAAGGUGUGGUAACACACACUGGAGGACCGAACCGACUAGUGUUGCAAAAUUAGCGGAUGAGCUGUGGAUAGGGGUGAAAGGCUUAACAAAUCUGGAGAUAGCUGGUUCUCCCCGAAAACUAUUGAGGUAGUGCCUCGUGUAUUGCUCCAGGGGGUAGAGCACUGUUAUGGCUAGGGGGACAUGGCGUCUUACCAAACCAUGGCAAACUCCGAAUACUUGGAAGUAAGAGCACGGGAGACAGAGCACCGGGUGCUAACGUCCGGACUCAAGAGGGAAACAACCCAGACCGCCGUUUAAGGUCCCAAAUAUUGACUAAGUGGAAAACGAAGUGUGAAGGCUAAGACAGUCAGGAAGUUGGCUUAGAAGCAGCCAUCCUUCAAAGAAAGCGUAAUAGCUCACUGAUCGAGUCCUCAUGCGCGGAAGAUGUAACGGGGCUAAGUCAAUAACCGAAAGCGCGGAUUUGCAUGAAAAUGCAAGUGGUAGGGGAGCGUUCUGUAAGCCUGCGAAGGUGGUUCGAGAGGACUGCUGGAGGUAUCAGAAGUGCGAAUGCUGACAUGAGUAACGUUAAAGCGGGUGAAAAGCCCGCUCGCCGUAAGCCCAAGGUUUCCUGCUCUACGUUCAUCGGAGCAGGGUGAGUCGGCCCCUAAGGCCAGGCUGAGAAGCGUAGUCGAUGGGAAGCAGAUUAAUAUUUCUGCACCAUGUGCAAGUGCGAUGGGGGGACGGAGUGCGAAAGAUCAUCCGGGUGUUGGAUGUCCCGGUUUGUGAGUGUAGAAGGCCGACAGGCAAAUCCGUCGGCGGAUCUUCGAGACAAAGCAUCGAGGUUCUACGGAACCGAAGUGAUCGGAAGUGCUUCCAGGAAAAGCCUCUAAGCUUCAGCUUGCAUAUGACCGUACCGUAAACCGACACUGGUGGGCGAGUUGAAUAUACUCAGGCGCUUGAGAGAACUCGGGAGAAGGAACUCGGCAAAUUGACACCGUAACUUCGGGAUAAGGUGUGCCUUUGUAGCGUGAAGAGAGAAACACUCGGAGCGUGAAGAGGCCUCAGAGAAUCGGUGGCUGCAACUGUUUAUUAAAAACACAGCACUCUGCAAAGACGAAAGUCGACGUAUAGGGUGUGAUGCCUGCCCGGUGCUGGAAGAUUAAGUGAUGGGGUGAGAGCUCCUGAUCGAAGUCCCAGUAAACGGCGGCCGUAACUAUAACGGUCCUAAGGUAGCGAAAUUCCUUGUCGGGUAAGUUCCGACCUGCACGAAUGGCAUAAUGAUGGCCACACUGUCUCCUCCCGAGACUCAGUGAAGUUGAAAUGUUUGUGAUGAUGCAAUCUCCCCGCGGCUAGACGGAAAGACCCCAUGAACCUUUACUGUAGCUUUGCAUUGGACUUUGAACCGAUUUGUGUAGGAUAGGCGGGAGGCAGAGAAAGCGCAACGCCAGUUGUGCCGGAGCCGACGUUGAAAUACCGCCCUGAUUUGUUUGAGGUUCUAACCGCGACCCGUAAGCCGGGUCCGGGACCGUGCAUGGCAGGCAGUUUGACUGGGGCGGUCUCCUCCUAAAGGGUAACGGAGGAGUACAAAGGUACGCUAGGUACGGUCGGAAAUCGUGCUGAUAGUGCAAAGGCAAAAGCGUGCUUGACUGCGAGACCGACAAGUCGAGCAGAUGCGAAAGCAGGUCUUAGUGAUCCGGUGGCUCUGUAUGGAAGGGCCAUCGCUCAACGGAUAAAAGGUACUCUGGGGAUAACAGGCUGAUACCGCCCAAGAGUUCAUAUCGACGGCGGUGUUU
Molecule: ribosomal RNA, 2070 nt
Filed under: metagenome
Description: bacterial LSU rRNA
Rfam family: Bacterial large subunit ribosomal RNA
Source: RNAcentral